CUGUUCAAGUAUGAAUCCCUUCUAAGCUGCCUGUAAUUUCAGAGCCUUCACGCCGAUGUGUAUGUAUAACAUUCCUGACACCUUGAAUAAAUACCCCAAACUGCUCUUAGGACGAACACCAUAAAUGGAAUCAGAUUGACAUCCAUAACCAUGUUUCUGAAAUUGGAGUUCAUAAAAUGAAGUUGUAAUCCAUUUUUCCAGCAUUCUUCUUCUUUGAUCCACCUUGAAUAUUUCAAGAGUUGGAUAUUCG
This 250-nucleotide long non-coding RNA is filed under the name Vitis vinifera (wine grape). RNAcentral describes it as "long non-coding RNA (VVIN_LNC006666)". Lineage: Eukaryota; Viridiplantae; Streptophyta; Magnoliopsida; Vitales; Vitaceae. The record is from RNAcentral.